AAGUAUUUUUACUUAAAAUUUAAAUUUUAAUUUUUUAAUCAAGACAAUUAAAAUCUCAUCAAUUCCUUCAUACUAGUUUUCAUUUAAAAAACAAUUGAUUAUGCUACCUUAGUACAGUCAAUAUACUGCAGCUAUUUAAUUWAAAAUCAUUGAGCAGAACAAAUUUUCUAAUAAAAUCAAAAAACCAUGUUUUUGAUAAACAGG
RNAcentral lists this ribosomal RNA (204 nucleotides) under Cladomyrma cryptata. Its description in RNAcentral is "partial 16S ribosomal RNA". The record is from RNAcentral. Lineage: Eukaryota; Metazoa; Arthropoda; Insecta; Hymenoptera; Formicidae.